GACGAACGCUGGCGGCGUGCUUAACACAUGCAAGUCGAACGGAAAGGCCCUGCUUGCAGGGUGCUCGAGUGGCGAACGGGUGAGUAACACGUGGGUGAUCUGCCCCUUACUUUGGGAUAAGCCUGGGAAACUGGGUCUAAUACUGGAUAGGACCAUGCUGUAGGUGGUGUGGUGGAAAGAUUAGUUUCGGUAAGGGAUGAGCUCGCGGCCUAUCAGCUUGUUGGUGGGGUAAUGGCCUACCAAGGCGUCGACGGGUAGCCGGCCUGAGAGGGUGGACGGCCACAUUGGGACUGAGAGACGGCCCAGACUACUACGGGAGGCAGCAGUGGGGAAUAUUGAACAAUGAGCGCAAGCCUGAUGCAGCGACGCCGCGUGGGGGAUGACGGCCUUCGGGUUGUAAACUCCUUUCAGCCAUGACGAAGCCCUUGUGGUGACGGUAGUGGUAGAAGAAGCACCGGCUAACUACGUG
This 469-nucleotide ribosomal RNA is filed under the name uncultured bacterium. Its description in RNAcentral is "partial 16S ribosomal RNA". It matches the Rfam family "Bacterial small subunit ribosomal RNA", at positions 28 to 507 of the family's 1533-position model. The record is from RNAcentral.